RNAcentral lists this ribosomal RNA (462 nucleotides) under uncultured bacterium. RNAcentral's name for it is "bacterial SSU rRNA". It matches the Rfam family "Bacterial small subunit ribosomal RNA", at positions 28 to 507 of the family's 1533-position model. The record is from RNAcentral.
GAUGAACGUUGGCGGCGUGCCUAAUACAUGCAAGUCGAACGAAGACUGUAGUAAUACUGUCUUAGUGGCGAACGGGUGAGUAACGCGUGGGUGACCUGCCCCGAAGUGUGGGAUAACAGUUCGAAAGGAUUGCUAAUACUGCAUAAUAUCCAAGAGAUUAGACGCUUUUGGAUUAAAGGAGUAAUUCGCUUCGGGAGGGGCCCGCGUCCCAUCAGCUAGUUGGUAAGGUAAUGGCUUACCAAGGCGAUGACGGGUAGGGGACCUGAGAGGGUGGCCCCCGACAAAGUGGAACUGAAACACGGUCCAUACACCUACGGGUGGCAGCAGUAGGGAAUAUUAGUAAUGGGCGAAAGCCUGAACUAGCAACGCCGCGUGUGCGAAGAAGGCCUUCGGGCUGUAAAGCACUUUUUGAGAGGAUGAGGAAGGACGGUACUCUCAGAAUAAGUCUCGGCUAACUACGUG